AAGGCAGACCACUACACAUUUGUCAUAAUAAAAUCCUACCAUGCCAUUUUGGUCUAUCCCUCAGAUAUUAUUGCUCGCUAUCACAAAGGAUGCACUGCAAACUAAAGCUGGAUCCCAGGGUGGAAUGACUGGAUCAUGCAUGCCAAUGUAA
Molecule: long non-coding RNA, 151 nt
Filed under: Crocodylus porosus (Australian saltwater crocodile)
Lineage: Eukaryota; Metazoa; Chordata; Crocodylia; Crocodylidae
Description: lncRNA (ENSCPRG00005013485.1)
Source: RNAcentral